This 2915-nucleotide ribosomal RNA is filed under the name Escherichia coli ETEC H10407. Its description in RNAcentral is "bacterial LSU rRNA". It matches the Rfam family "Bacterial large subunit ribosomal RNA". Lineage: Bacteria; Pseudomonadati; Pseudomonadota; Gammaproteobacteria; Enterobacterales; Enterobacteriaceae. The record is from RNAcentral.
GGUUAAGCGACUAAGCGUACACGGUGGAUGCCCUGGCAGUCAGAGGCGAUGAAGGACGUGCUAAUCUGCGAUAAGCGUCGGUAAGGUGAUAUGAACCGUUAUAACCGGCGAUUUCCGAAUGGGGAAACCCAGUGUGUUUCGACACACUAUCAUUAACUGAAUCCAUAGGUUAAUGAGGCGAACCGGGGGAACUGAAACAUCUAAGUACCCCGAGGAAAAGAAAUCAACCGAGAUUCCCCCAGUAGCGGCGAGCGAACGGGGAGGAGCCCAGAGCCUGAAUCAGUGUGUGUGUUAGUGGAAGCGUCUGGAAAGGCGCGCGAUACAGGGUGACAGCCCCGUACACAAAAAUGCACAUAUUGUGAGCUCGAUGAGUAGGGCGGGACACGUGGUAUCCUGUCUGAAUAUGGGGGGACCAUCCUCCAAGGCUAAAUACUCCUGACUGACCGAUAGUGAACCAGUACCGUGAGGGAAAGGCGAAAAGAACCCCGGCGAGGGGAGUGAAAAAGAACCUGAAACCGUGUACGUACAAGCAGUGGGAGCACGCUUAGGCGUGUGACUGCGUACCUUUUGUAUAAUGGGUCAGCGACUUAUAUUCUGUAGCAAGGUUAACCGAAUAGGGGAGCCGAAGGGAAACCGAGUCUUAACUGGGCGUUAAGUUGCAGGGUAUAGACCCGAAACCCGGUGAUCUAGCCAUGGGCAGGUUGAAGGUUGGGUAACACUAACUGGAGGACCGAACCGACUAAUGUUGAAAAAUUAGCGGAUGACUUGUGGCUGGGGGUGAAAGGCCAAUCAAACCGGGAGAUAGCUGGUUCUCCCCGAAAGCUAUUUAGGUAGCGCCUCGUGAAUUCAUCUCCGGGGGUAGAGCACUGUUUCGGCAAGGGGGUCAUCCCGACUUACCAACCCGAUGCAAACUGCGAAUACCGGAGAAUGUUAUCACGGGAGACACACGGCGGGUGCUAACGUCCGUCGUGAAGAGGGAAACAACCCAGACCGCCAGCUAAGGUCCCAAAGUCAUGGUUAAGUGGGAAACGAUGUGGGAAGGCCCAGACAGCCAGGAUGUUGGCUUAGAAGCAGCCAUCAUUUAAAGAAAGCGUAAUAGCUCACUGGUCGAGUCGGCCUGCGCGGAAGAUGUAACGGGGCUAAACCAUGCACCGAAGCUGCGGCAGCGACGCUGAUGCGUUGUUGGGUAGGGGAGCGUUCUGUAAGCCUGCGAAGGUGUGCUGUGAGGCAUGCUGGAGGUAUCAGAAGUGCGAAUGCUGACAUAAGUAACGAUAAAGCGGGUGAAAAGCCCGCUCGCCGGAAGACCAAGGGUUCCUGUCCAACGUUAAUCGGGGCAGGGUGAGUCGACCCCUAAGGCGAGGCCGAAAGGCGUAGUCGAUGGGAAACAGGUUAAUAUUCCUGUACUUGGUGUUACUGCGAAGGGGGGACGGAGAAGGCUAUGUUGGCCGGGCGACGGUUGUCCCGGUUUAAGCGUGUAGGCUGGUUUUCCAGGCAAAUCCGGAAAAUCAAGGCUGAGGCGUGAUGACGAGGCACUACGGUGCUGAAGCAACAAAUGCCCUGCUUCCAGGAAAAGCCUCUAAGCAUCAGGUAACAUCAAAUCGUACCCCAAACCGACACAGGUGGUCAGGUAGAGAAUACCAAGGCGCUUGAGAGAACUCGGGUGAAGGAACUAGGCAAAAUGGUGCCGUAACUUCGGGAGAAGGCACGCUGAUAUGUAGGUGAAGUCCCUUGCGGAUGGAGCUGAAAUCAGUCGAAGAUACCAGCUGGCUGCAACUGUUUAUUAAAAACACAGCACUGUGCAAACACGAAAGUGGACGUAUACGGUGUGACGCCUGCCCGGUGCCGGAAGGUUAAUUGAUGGGGUCAGCGCAAGCGAAGCUCUUGAUCGAAGCCCCGGUAAACGGCGGCCGUAACUAUAACGGUCCUAAGGUAGCGAAAUUCCUUGUCGGGUAAGUUCCGACCUGCACGAAUGGCGUAAUGAUGGCCAGGCUGUCUCCACCCGAGACUCAGUGAAAUUGAACUCGCUGUGAAGAUGCAGUGUACCCGCGGCAAGACGGAAAGACCCCGUGAACCUUUACUAUAGCUUGACACUGAACAUUGAGCCUUGAUGUGUAGGAUAGGUGGGAGGCUUGGAAGUGUGGACGCCAGUCUGCAUGGAGCCGACCUUGAAAUACCACCCUUUAAUGUUUGAUGUUCUAACGUUGACCCGUGAUCCGGGUUGCGGACAGUGUCUGGUGGGUAGUUUGACUGGGGCGGUCUCCUCCUAAAGAGUAACGGAGGAGCACGAAGGUUGGCUAAUCCUGGUCGGACAUCAGGAGGUUAGUGCAAUGGCAUAAGCCAGCUUGACUGCGAGCGUGACGGCGCGAGCAGGUGCGAAAGCAGGUCAUAGUGAUCCGGUGGUUCUGAAUGGAAGGGCCAUCGCUCAACGGAUAAAAGGUACUCCGGGGAUAACAGGCUGAUACCGCCCAAGAGUUCAUAUCGACGGCGGUGUUUGGCACCUCGAUGUCGGCUCAUCACAUCCUGGGGCUGAAGUAGGUCCCAAGGGUAUGGCUGUUCGCCAUUUAAAGUGGUACGCGAGCUGGGUUUAGAACGUCGUGAGACAGUUCGGUCCCUAUCUGCCGUGGGCGCUGGAGAACUGAGGGGGGCUGCUCCUAGUACGAGAGGACCGGAGUGGACGCAUCACUGGUGUUCGGGUUGUCAUGCCAAUGGCACUGCCCGGUAGCUAAAUGCGGAAGAGAUAAGUGCUGAAAGCAUCUAAGCACGAAACUUGCCCCGAGAUGAGUUCUCCCUGACUCCUUGAGAGUCCUGAAGGAACGUUGAAGACGACGACGUUGAUAGGCCGGGUGUGUAAGCGCAGCGAUGCGUUGAGCUAACCGGUACUAAUGAACCGUGAGGCUUAACCUUACAACGCCGAA